This 29-nucleotide transfer RNA is filed under the name Poecilia latipinna (sailfin molly). RNAcentral describes it as "partial tRNA-Thr". The record is from RNAcentral. RNAcentral also lists the same sequence under 1 other name. Lineage: Eukaryota; Metazoa; Chordata; Actinopteri; Cyprinodontiformes; Poeciliidae.
GCACUAGUAGCUCAGUCCUUAGAGCGUCG